UCCCCUGUAGCUCAGCGGUAGAGUCGGUGACUGUUAAUCACUUUGUCGCAAGUUCGAAUCUUGCCGGGGGAG
Molecule: transfer RNA, 72 nt
Filed under: Synechococcus phage S-SKS1
Lineage: Duplodnaviria; Heunggongvirae; Uroviricota; Caudoviricetes
Rfam family: tRNA
About the family: Transfer RNA (tRNA) molecules are approximately 80 nucleotides in length.
Source: Rfam by way of RNAcentral